This 1215-nucleotide long non-coding RNA is filed under the name Salvia miltiorrhiza (redroot sage). Its description in RNAcentral is "long non-coding RNA (SMIL_LNC005731)". Lineage: Eukaryota; Viridiplantae; Streptophyta; Magnoliopsida; Lamiales; Lamiaceae. The record is from RNAcentral.
UAAAAUCCAUUGAGAUGAAAUAAAACAUUUUAACCAUUUAAAAAAAAUCCAUACUCGUAAGCUUUGAAAAAAAUUUUAUCAUGUAAUAAAUGGGGCUUAAUCCCAAAAUAUUUGCUUUAAAGUCCAUUAAUAAUUUAAAUAAUAGAAUGGACUUCAUUUAGAAUAAAUAAUCCCAACUUCCAAUAUUAAAAUUUAAAUCAAGAGAUUUAAAUUCACUAAGUAAUUUAGUGAAAAUUUAAACAUUUUUUUUUUUUUUUUUAAGAAAUAAGGCCAAAAUUCGUAGGCCUAUAUUUAAAACAAUAGCCCAAGCAUUUAAAUAAAAUUAGCCUACACAACUAAAAUAAAAACCCAUCAAUUUUAAAACAAAAAGAGCCCAGCAGAAGUAAAAUAAAAUCGGCCCAAACAAAUUAAAACAUGAGCCCAACUUAAUAAAAAUCGGCCCACUCACUCUUUUUUUUAAAAAUUUUUCGGCCCACCCUAAACCUAACCCUAAUACAUACAACAUAUACCACACACACAAAACACAUAACACACACACUCAAGCUCAGCGCCUCACUCUCCCUCUCUACCUCUCGGCUCUCUCCUCUUCUCUCCCUCUCGUCUCUCUGUCUCACCGGAAGUCAGCCGCACGCCGCCUCGCCGUGAAGGAGCUCGGCCGCCGUCCAUCUGGUCUUCCUCCUUCGGCUCCUGCUCGGACAAGGGCGCGGGUAGCUUCCUCUCCAUCCCCUCGUCUGGAACAGGGCAUCUGCCCUCUCCGCCAUAGGGAGCGCACGGUCGCCGCCUGGCCGCCUCCUCCGUCGUCCGUCGUGGCUGAAAUCGCGGUGGAGGCCGAGCUUCGUCUCGCCGGAAAGGUAAGUUCCAAAUCUUCCCCCUUUUCCUCUCUUUUCUAUUUUUAAACCUAGAUCUGAAAUUCCCCCCCCUCUUUUCCUCUUUUCCGGUCGGUCAGGAACAGCCCGUUGCUCCCGCCGCCGUGUCGCCGCUGCCGAUGCCGCCGCGUCGUCGUCACCGGAGAAGAUAAGUCCUCCCCUCCCUCUCUUCUUUCUUUCCCCUUUUUUUUUCUUUAACCUAAUCUCUCUCUCUCUCGGUUGUUUCAGACAGAAAAAGGAAAAAGGCGGUGGCUUGCCGCCGCGCCGCCUUCGGCCGUGAGCAGCCGCCGGCUGCUCUCACCCCCAACUCUCCAUUCCCGGACAUACACAGAAGGCAAAGACACAAGAA